This 1902-nucleotide long non-coding RNA is filed under the name Sus scrofa (pig). RNAcentral describes it as "lncRNA (ENSSSCG00000061498.1)". Lineage: Eukaryota; Metazoa; Chordata; Mammalia; Artiodactyla; Suidae. The record is from RNAcentral.
CUUUUUAGAGCCGCACCUGCGGCAUAUGGAGGUUCCCAGGCUCGGAGCCCAAUUGGAGCUGUAGCUGCCCACCUAUGCCACAGCCACAGCAACGCCAGAUCCAAGCCGUGUCUGCGACCUACACCACAGCUCAUGGCAAUGCCAGAUCCUUAGCCCAUUGAUUGAACCUUCGUCCUCAUGGUUACUAGUCAGAUUUGUUUCUGCUGAGCCACGAUGAGAACUCCCAGAACGUACUUCUUAUGGCCUCUGCCCCAUCUAAUGAAAGUUAGGGAGACUCUCCCCAGUAAAACACACAUACAUUCGCAUGCUUCCAGCACAUGCUAAUUCCAGGGGGAUCAUGUAACCCCCCUAAAGCCCACCCUGGGAAAACUCCAGGCUUUAAGGGUUUGCUCACAGACAAGAAAAUUCCAUUAAUCCUCACUUUCUUCUUUAGAUUACUAUUGUGUGUUGCAAGACAGAGAACAUGAUUAAAAUAAGGUAAGUUAUGCAGAUGCAUACACCAAAGGAUUUAGGUUCAGCUAACUUUGACAUCUUUAAAAUAAAACGAUCACAUGGGCUUGCUAUCUCAUUUUACCUCCUAAAGACUUCUCAACUCUAUCACCUUUUUUCCAUGUCUCCACUCCUCGCGGCCAGGAUCAAUGCUAGCCCACUGCAAGCAUUACAGAAAGGCAUCCCUUCCUGGAGACAUUUACUGCCAUCUGCUGGGCAAAAGUGCCAUAUUAACUAUGUACAUAUUUUCACUAUGUCCAAGAUGAGGACAGGGGGUCCUCGAGUUCUGUACAGCUGCAUGGGAGUUUCUAGCAUGAUCUGAGUACAAUGUAAGCCUACAGACUGCCGAUGUGAACUGACCAUUACUGCAGAUGGCUGUUCUCCAGGGGUAUUUGGGGGUUUUUUUUGUUUGUUUUUUGUUUGUUUGUUUGUUUUUCGGCUUUUUAGAGCCACAUCUGCGGCCUAUGGAAGUUCCCAGGCUAGGGGCUGAAUCAGAGCUACAGCUGCCAGUCUACACCACAGCCACAGCAACUAAGGAUCUGAGCUGCAUCUGCAACCUACACCACAGCUUGUGGCAACACCAGAUCCUUAACCCACUGAAUGAGGCCAGGGAUCGAACCCAUGUCCUCACGGAUCCUAGCUGGGUUCAUUAACCACUGAGCCAUGACAGAAACUCCUGUUCUGAGUUAUUCAAAAACAUUUUAAACUACUUUUCCAAACUGUUUAAAUUCCAUGAAAAGCUGCAAAAAAUAGAACGGAGUUUCCAUGAAUUCCUUACCCAGACUCCCCAGAAGAGUUUGGUUUUAUAGCCAUACAAACCAGGGUGUUAAUCAUGAUUCUGACAAGAUUUUGACAGAUGGGCAUAGUGCCGGCACACAGUAAGUGCCCAACAUUUACUAUAAGUUGUUAUCAUUUGCUAGCAGUGGUUUCCUUAACUGUUAAAAAAAAAAAAAGAUAGUAAAAAAAUCUAGUUAACUGUUAUAAUUUCUGUGGUCUAAUGUUCUCCCCCAAAUCACACUUACCUAGUGCACCGUUAUCCCAGUUUUCUAGGUACAAAUCAUAAGUGAUCACAACUAAUGAGAUGCUCUCCUACCCCAGGAGGAGAUGAUGGUGACUAAUUCUUGGAUGCCCAUCCUAGGCACCCCAGUGGCCAGGAGAUACUCAGACGCUAAGGGCAGAGCCAGCUCCAGGCUGAGGUAAGCAGGGACCUUGUGCUUUUCUAUCUUAUCUGAAAGUGGACACCUCUCCAGAGCACCGAAGUCUUCCAGGUGGUUAUUGUUAUUUUGAUUUCAUAAAAGAAAGGCAACUCUUUUUAUUUUUUUCUUUUUCUUUUCUUUUUUCUUUUUUUAAAUUUGUUUUUCUUUUAUUUGUUUUUGUCUUUUCUAGGGUGCACCCAUGGCAUGUGGAGGUUCC